UGGGGAAUUUUGGACAACGGGGGAAACCCUGAUCCAGCCAUCCCGCGUGUCCGAUGAAGGCCUUCGGGUUGUAAAGCACUUUUGGCAGGAAAGAAACGUCAUGGGUUAAUACCCCGUGAAACUGACGGUACCUGCAGAAUAAGCACCGGCUAACUACGUGCCAGCAGCCGCGGUAAUACGUAGGGUGCAAGCGUUAAUCGGAAUUACUGGGCGUAAAGCGUGCGCAGGCGGUUCAGAAAGAAAGAUGUGAAAUCCCAGAGCUCAACUUUGGAACUGCAUUUUUAACUACCGAGCUAGGGUGUGUCAGAGGGAGGUGGAAUUCCGCGUGUAGCAGUGAAAUGCGUGGAUAUGCGGAGGAACACCGAUGGCGAAGGCACCCUCCUGGGAUAACACUGACGAUCAUGCACGAAAGCGUGGGGAGCAAACAGG
Molecule: ribosomal RNA, 429 nt
Filed under: Acidobacteriota bacterium
Lineage: Bacteria; Pseudomonadati; Acidobacteriota
Description: Acidobacteria bacterium partial 16S ribosomal RNA
Rfam family: Bacterial small subunit ribosomal RNA
Source: RNAcentral